Myxocyprinus asiaticus (Chinese sucker) is the source of this 4308-nucleotide long non-coding RNA. RefSeq lists it as uncharacterized. The record is from RefSeq and is a predicted model, not a curated record. NCBI's taxonomy places the organism in Eukaryota, Metazoa, Chordata, Actinopteri, Cypriniformes, Catostomidae. The transcript is spliced from 3 exons.
AGAGAUGACACCCACUGAGAUGAAGUGAGUAGAAGAAGGGCCUGUUCUCUGUAUCCCAUUAACAUCACUUCGUAAAAUGCUCCUACACAACAUGAGCAAACAGACAACCAUGUGUUGGCUGGCUCGGCUUUCUACAGAACACCUAUGGGAUGAAAUGGAGUUAAAAAUGCCAGGUCGUCAUUGUUCUAGUGUGGAUGAACUGAAACCUUUGGUGGCUGAAACUUAGAGGAAGUUUUCUCUACAGCUUUUACAGAAGUUUGUUGAUUCUAUGCCCAGAGAAGGAAAGGAUUGCAAAUCAAGCACUAAAACAUUUUUAAUUGCAACUUAAGUUUACACAUACUUUUUGGGGCCACUGCAUUAUACACACACACACACACAAACAUGUUUUUAUAUCAUUGUGGGGACUCUCCAUAGACUUCCAUGCAUUCUAUGGCUUUUAUAGGGAUCUAACGAUAAUAUCUAUUCCCUAACCCUAACCCUACCCCUAAACCUAUCCCUCACAGAAACCUUUUUGCAUUUUUAAAUUUUCAAAAAAACAUGUUUAGUAUGUUUAAUAAGCUGGCUGGGCCCCACAAGGAUCUCAAGUUUUACUAUCCUUGUGGGGACAUUUGGUACCCACAAUGUAGUAUAAACAUGUACACGCACACACACCUGACAUUUAAGAGCAUAAUUUCACUGAAAUACUCUCCAAUUUUAUUAAAUAUACAUAAUUUAAAUGCUAAUAGGUUAUAAAGUUGUUCUCAAUUGAAGGUGAGUCUAUAGACAUUGGUACUGUAGUUGUCCUUUCUCCGCACCUGUAUGCAGCAUAGGCCUGCAGCUCUUAUUUGGUCCGUUUUGCACCAUCAAUUUCAACCAGUCUAGCUGGCCUGGCCCACAAUGGGCUAAAUUUGGGCUCUCAUGUCUCUCUUUAUCUUCCUGCAACAAAGAUGUCGACUCCCCUGAUGUACUCAUCCAAAGAGCAUGCAGCACAAGUGGGUCGAGGUGCUGGCUAAUUCACUCACCAAGCCUGCUCAAGAAAAAGUGUGUUGUUUCUUUGGGUUAUUAAAGGUUGAACACUGCCUUUCAGUUGAUAAUUGGUUACGGUCUGCAACCACAUCUGCCAAAAACUAAUCAACACUUUCACAAGACAGCUCUGGCAGAACAAGAGCCCAGCAAAUAUUAUUAAUACUUGUUUAUUACUUGGGUUAAUGUUUCUUUUUUUUUUUUUUAUGAAAUAAACGUUAUUUGUUUUUGAAAAUGUUUAUUAUUAAGGUCAAGUUAAGUGUAGCAUUGUUUAAUUUGGAUUAUUUUGUCCGGACAAAGAGAGUGAGUGACCCCAAUGCUUGUCAAAUUCUAAUAAACACAAUUUUAACCAGCAGCUGCAAAAUACCAGGCACUUAAUGCCCAGACACUAAAAGUUGGGCUUUUAAAAAAGUCAAGCUGAAGACAUUCAUGAUAUUACUGUUUCACCAUAAAAAAAAGUUAAAAAAAUUGCCCCUUUCUUUUGCCCCUCUUUUUUUUAGAACUGUGGGUCUACUGCAAGUAUAAGUGAUUCUGUGGCAAAUGUGGAAGAACAUGAUAUUGACAAGGAUGCUCUAUUUCUACUUGGUUGAAGAAUGGUAGAAAUGGUGAACGUACUAAACCCUGUAAUUUUCAAUAUCUCCUACCAAGCUAAACCUUUCUGGCAUUUAUUCAAACAGUGGAAAGGAACAUUGUUUGACAUUUAACAUAUAAUUUAAUCCAAUGGAAUAAACAUAGGCCUACUCGUUAACAAUAAAUUAACAACAAGCAUGGGUGCCUGCUGGAUUUAAUCUGAGGGUGUGCUCAGAAAUCUGCCUAGAGGUAUGCACAGGCCUUAAAAUGAAACCCAAACCCGAGACCGUGUGGCCCGUAUCGGUACCCGGCCUGAACGAUACCGUCAGAUUUUAAGCCCGAACACAAAAUUGCUUACUAUCUCAUUUCUUCUCCAAUUAUCUUCUCCUAGUAUCUUCUCCUAGUAUAGCUGUAUUUUACGGGGUCCGGGGGCAUGCUCCCCUGUGAGAUUUUUUUGUUGCAAAAAACAACACCAAAGCAUUUAAUUCUGGUGACUUUGAGAUAAGCAUUUAUUUAUUUUCUAGUGUAUGAGCAGCAUUCAUGUAACUAUUGGCUAAAGCAUUUCUUCCAGUAACCGUUCAGACAGAGCUAAAUGCACCACAACGAAUAGAGCAGAACGCAAGUGUCUCGAGACGCGUUUUUAUUAGUUGAAGAAGUACUUUUUAACUUGACGCAGCGUCUAAAAACGCAGCGCUCCUGUGAGAGAUGCAAAAACACAUGACAAACGUGAUGCAGUUGUCAAAAGACAUCCAUGUAGCGAAUGUUUACAUGGAAAACAAUUGAAAAACUGCAAGAGCAGACGCAAAAAUACGUUCAGUUUGAGCACCCCCCUUAUUCAUAUGUCACAGCACUAGCUGAAGUUUCUCAAAGUUACCUCUCAAAAAGUACAUUUCCACUGUAUCCAGCACUGUAUUCGUAAAUAUCCCGAUACUGUUUUACUGUGUGAGAAACCGCUCCAAAUGAGUCAGUGUGAGAGCGCUCUGAACGAAUUGUACUGAAUCACGAAUCGAUUCAGACCAUUUUGCAAGCCUGUUUGGCCAAUUCACUGAAAAGAACCGACUCAGAGGAAUUAUUCAUUUGCAAAUUGGGCAUUGCUAGUUCUUUUAAACAGCCAACAGAAAUACGGGACACAUUUCAUGAUUGGUGAAAUAUUCUGAGAGUAAAUAUUUCUCAGGUCAGUCGGAGCGCACAGUGCGUACGGCCGUACAGCUGCAGGUGCCACUGACGACAAGUUAAGUAGUGAUCAAGAACUUAAUUUAAAGCUAUGUAUCAAAUAAAAUGAAAACAUGAAAAAACAAGGCUAAAGUAGAUGAGGAUGAAGUAGACCAAAGAGAAACAAAGUAGGUGGUUCUCAAUUAUUUUUGAAACUACAGAACUUUGAAAAAAAAAAAAAAAAAAGGCUUUGAAAGCAUUAAAUGUAUUUCCUUUCAGCUUCAUGUCAUGAAAAAAGUGUUAUUUAAAAAGUAAAAUUAAAACUGAAUGCUCAUUGUUUCUUCUGUGUAUUCUCUCCAUGACAAAUCAGAAUUUGCAAAAUAGAAUGUGAUUUGAAAACGGGGCAGUAUUUCGCAUGGCCCUUACAAUACCCCAAAUGAAGUAGACCUAAAUAAAUAAAUAAAUAAAUAAUUUCACCCAGGGGCAAAAUAAUUAUUAUUAUAAACCCCCUUCCUCCCCCCUCAAACUAUGACCUCGCCUUCAAGAGAAAAACCAAAACAGACAAUUUCCCAAAGACAGCACAUCAUACUUUGUCUGCCACAGACAAAGGGUAAAGCAUCCGUCUCUCAAGAUUUGCUUCUGAAAUUCUAAAACACUUAAAUAUCCAUAGAAUUGCCUUGGCAAAUCCAGGAAAUAAAACAUUAAAUACAUAUUAAAUUUAGUGUAUAUGGAACACUGGAAAAACAACUGAAAUUAUGCACCCAUGUGGCUCCCAUAAUAAGGUUAAAUAUGACUCAAUUUUUAAUAUAAAUAGAAAUCUACAUUUACAUUUAAAGCAAACACUCUUAUUCAAUGCAUUUUAGCUUCUCACAUGAGAAUUGUGGUCAACAGAUGACCAAGAAACUUGAUUUACAAAUAUAAACUUAUUCACAGAUCUUUUGUGAUUUAUCACAACAUUUUCACAGGAAACUUAAAUCAGGUAGGAUUUUAGGGAAUAACUGAAUUUUCUUGCAAAUUCUUCAUUUCUUUUUCAUCCUUAGAUUUUUUUGAUUUGAUAUUUUAUUAACCAAUAUAAUUUUCCAAAUUAUGUAGAUAUCAAAAGUGCAAGUUAACAUAAUUGUGUUUAUGAUUUUUUUUUUUUUUUUUUUUUAAAGAGCUCUUGGAUCUCUCUGACAAACUCACACAGGCAUUUAAACUUGGCCACUCCUGUCUGGGAUCUGAAAACACAUUUGGCCGUGUCCAAGUUAGUCUGGAUUGGCAAUGGACAGACUUGGGACACAGAAUUUACCACACAGAUCUUUCGUUUCUGCUGGCAGAUCUUUCACUGUUCACAAAGUUCUGGCUGUGCUGCAACAGACCACCAGGCAUGUUUGCGAAUCCUUUUAGUCUUGAGGUGUAUGAUUUAUCCUGGCAUUCCCACUCCUUUCUCCAUCGAGCAGAAGUUUAGUACAGACUGCGUAUCUUAGUUUUGCUUGCCUAGCAUUAAUAAUGCUUCUAGGAGUAUGCAUGUAUAUACCCACACACAUACAGUGUAUAAAUAUAUGUUGCCAACAAUUUGACAAUUACACCCCAAUGAAAAUACUG